CCUGCUGAGGGUUGGAUGCUGUGCCAGCAUGUGGGUCACCUGCUCACGAAACCCGGUGAUUGUGUGGGUCACCGCGGAGACACGAGAGAGCUGCACACCCGGCUGAAGAGCUGACAGGGACCCCGUGUGCCCUCCCUGCUCCUCCACGACUCCUCUCCUACCCUCAGGAAAAUCUCUUUGUGCCCUCAUCCAGGGCACUGAGGGCAAGGAACUGGCACUGCCAGUGGAGCGGGAAGUGAAAAGCUAUGCCCUGGCCGAUCAGUCCUCAAAGGAUCCCAGCUCUCAGAAUCUGAGGAAGAAGCUGCCUUCAGGCAUGAUGCCACCAGACAAUGGCCUGAAGGAGAUAGCCAGAAAAUUGAUUAGCAUCAUUGGAACUCCCUUGGCAGCAACUUUGCAAAUUCUCUAAAGAUUCUGUGGAAGAACUGCCUUCCAGAAAUUAAAAAGACCAGAGCCCCAGUUGGAACCACCCAGCCCCCGGGCAGCCCCCGGGAGAUCUUCAGAACGUAAAGGUGGGGUCUUUCAUUGCAGGAGCUGAACUGAAGAAGGUGUUCCCUGGAGAACAGGUACAGUAGGCCUACUUUCCAUUUUUUUUCUUUGAAGUAAAAAAUGCCAAAUAGGACUCUUGCCACCUUGGUGUGGUCUGGUCCUUUAUGAUGACCUUGGGGUCCCAGGAGGACUCGCCACAGUUACUUUUGGUUCUGCAGUCUUGGGACCAUGGUCUCCUCCAUGACUCUCAGUGAACCUGUCCCAGCCAGUGGGACAAGCUCCCAGUUCUGUAGAAAGACCUGGCUUCUUUCUGCUAGAACUUCUUUCUAUGCAGACCAUCCGCAGCCCUUAAGGCUGCAGUCUGGAAGGUCUGGGACUGCCGUGGGUGGGUGGUCUGCCUUCAGGGAGUACUUGCUAGGGCCUGAGCUGCACAGUAAUCGGAGGCUUCCAGCAGCUGUGUGGUCAGUACUGUGUAUUCCUGGCCAGGUUACCUCAAAAGAAAUACUUCUUCUUGAAGCCCUGACAUUUCCCUCUUCCUACUGGCCAACAGGCCCACUGACUCACCUCCAUAGACUUCGGUACACUACUCACUGUAGAGCGAUGCAUUUCAUCCCACUCAGGGUUGCCUUCCCUGUAUUUUCCACACAACUGAGCAUCACAGACACUAAGGUUCCCCUAGUGUCUGAGGAGCUGAGGAUGCUUAAGACUGUGACACUCUUCUACUUGAUCCAUUUCCUUCCUCAAAACCUUAUCCCUGCCCUAAAUCACAGAUGGCUUCUAGCCAUUCAAGACCUUGAUGACAGGGCGAGAGAGGAAAUAAAGAAAGAAAAAGGACACGUUGGAGAAAUAUAUUCCCUAUACAUAAAAUAGAUAGAUAACUCAUUUCCACAGAAACUCUUACAAAUAAAUAGGAAAUAAGACUUCCUUGGUGGCUCAGAUGGUUAAGCGUCUGCCUACAAUGCGGGAGACCUGGGUUCAAUCCCUGGGUUGGGAAGCUCUCCUGGAGAAGGAAAUGGCAACCCACUCCAGUAUUCUUGCCCGGAAAAUCAAAUGGAUGGAGGAGCCUGGUAGGCUACAGUCCAUGGGGUCACAAAGAGUUGGACAAGACUGAGC
Molecule: long non-coding RNA, 1599 nt
Organism: Ovis aries (sheep)
Lineage: Eukaryota; Metazoa; Chordata; Mammalia; Artiodactyla; Bovidae
Source: Ensembl